This 555-nucleotide ribosomal RNA is filed under the name Triticum aestivum (bread wheat). RNAcentral's name for it is "partial small subunit ribosomal RNA". The record is from RNAcentral. Lineage: Eukaryota; Viridiplantae; Streptophyta; Magnoliopsida; Poales; Poaceae.
AUGCUCAGCCUCAUAGUUUACAUCUUAUGUUACAUGAACGAUCCUAUCGAGCCCUUUGGCGCCGGCUCUUACCCAGAGUUCCGCCUCUUGUUUUAUGUGCUCGACAAGCUUGUUGUAGGAGGGAGCAGCAUUGUCGAAGAGAGCUGCGUUGCGAUGCUUCCAAAGUGCCCAAGAGGUGAGGAUGAUGAUGGAGUUGAUCCCUUUGCGGAGGCAGGCUGGCGCGCUGGUCGUCGUUGCCAUCCACCAGUCGAAGAAGCCGGAAGUGCCAUCAGGGGGAAGGACGGGUAUGCGGCACCAUGCCAUGAUGUCGUGCCAAAUGAUGCGCGAGAAGACGCAACCGACGAGAAGGCGGUGCGGAGUCUCGCUGUCUUGGCUACACAGCUUGCAAAUGGGGUCAUGAGGAAGAUUGUGGCGCGCUCUCCGGUCGGCGGUCCAGCAUCUGUUGAGAGAGGCAAGCCAGAGGAAAAUCUUCGCAUUGGAAGGAGCCCAAGUCUUCCAGAUGGGGCGCCAGAAUGGCGCGGUGGUGGCGCCAAUGAACAGCGCGUGGUAGGCUGA